Mauremys mutica (yellowpond turtle) is the source of this 1042-nucleotide long non-coding RNA. RefSeq lists it as uncharacterized. Lineage: Eukaryota; Metazoa; Chordata; Testudines; Geoemydidae. The transcript is spliced from 4 exons. The record is from RefSeq and is a predicted model, not a curated record.
CUUUGGAGAGGGAGGGACCAGGCUGCCUGUGGAGCUGAGGAAGGGAACAAGUCCAGCGUGACACCAGCAACUCUGCUGAAGAUCAUAUCGAAUAUGCCUCCGUGAAUUGGCUGGGAAGCUCCAGGCAUCCACGGCCAAAGAGAGAAGAGACACCAACAUAUGCGACCAUCGCUCUGCAGCAGGACAGAUGUCAUUAAUGCUCCACUUGCUGAAAUGCAGGACUCGUCAGUGCGCAGUCACAUCACAGAACCUCGGCAACUGUAGGGGCCGUGCAGCAAGGAAGUGGGGGACCUUCUCUGGGGCCACAGCAGGACAAUGCACAGCACCCCAAAGUGCUGUAGGACACUGGAAUAUUCUUAGGGCAAAUGCAGCCUGUUUGCCUUUUGGAAAAAAAAGUUUCUUCUGAAUAAAAUGGGGUAAAAUACCCAAACUCUGUAUUCCUACCCUCUGACUCUUUAUAUUGACAGCUCAGCUCCCAAGUCCUCUCAGCUCUGUUCAGAGAUUCCAUUGCCAACCCAAAGUGUACAAAAAUCAUGAGGCAGCUCCCCCAAAUCCAAAGAUUGCUUAAAAAAAAAUCUCAUGAAUUCUUAAAUUCUGCCUGUUGCUUACUUCUAUUUGACUUCUGGUGUUUGACUUUCUGGAGGUCAGGUUUUCAAGGUGUUCUUCACAACCAGAAGGGCUAGAAACUUACUGAUUUCAACAAAACCCAAGAUACUCUCAUAAUCCCAGUACAUCAGCAGUUGGACUUCAAGAAAAACAGGGAAUAUUAUGAGAUGUGCUGUGAAAUAAUGAGAACUGACAACAGAAUCAGGCUCACCUUUGAAUGUGAAGGUCUGUUUAAUGUCAUGCAGGUUUGUAGGGGUGUGAUGAAAUAUAAGCAACAAACAAAAAGUAUUAGUCACAAGCUAUGAGUUUGUGAAACUAUUUCUUAGCCGCCUCCAGAGAGUGCAGCCAUGUGGAGGCAAGAGAACAUCAUGUCAGUAUUUGGCUUUGGUAUAUGGUUUUGAGCUGAUAUUUGGCAGGAAUUCUAGAUUGAUGUCCA